This 440-nucleotide ribosomal RNA is filed under the name uncultured bacterium. RNAcentral describes it as "partial 16S ribosomal RNA". It matches the Rfam family "Bacterial small subunit ribosomal RNA", at positions 338 to 795 of the family's 1533-position model. The record is from RNAcentral.
CCUACGGGAGGCAGCAGUGGGGAAUAUUGGACAAUGGGGGAAACCCUGAUCCAGCGACGCCGCGUGAGUGAAGAAGUAUUUCGGUACGUAAAGCUCUAUCAGCAGGAAAGAAAAUGACGGUACCUGACUAAGAAGCCCCGGCUAACUACGUGCCAGCAGCCGCGGUAAUACGUAGGGGGCAAGCGUUAUCCGGAUUUACUGGGUGUAAGGGGAGCGUAGACGGCAGCGCAAGUCUGGAGUGAAAUGCCGGGGCCCAACCCCGGAACUGCUCUGGAAACUGUGAAGCUGGAGUGCAGGAGAGGUAAGCGGAAUUCCUGGUGUAGCGGUGAAAUGCGUAGAUAUCAGGAGGAACACCGAUUGCGAAGGCAGCUUACCAAGCUACGUCUGACGUUGAGGCACGAAAGCGUGGGGAGCAAACAGGAUUAGAUACCCCAGUAGUC